This is a small nuclear RNA of Perognathus longimembris pacificus (Pacific pocket mouse), 107 nucleotides long. The record is from RefSeq and is a predicted model, not a curated record. Lineage: Eukaryota; Metazoa; Chordata; Mammalia; Rodentia; Heteromyidae.
GUGCUCACUUCGGCAGCACAUAUGUUAAAAUUGGAAUGAUACAGAGAAGAACAGCAUGGCUACUACACAAGGGUGACACACAAAUUCAUGAAAUGUUCCAUAUUUUU